This 206-nucleotide long non-coding RNA is filed under the name Lathyrus oleraceus (garden pea). Its description in RNAcentral is "Pisum sativum (pea) long non-coding RNA (PSAT_LNC021398)". Lineage: Eukaryota; Viridiplantae; Streptophyta; Magnoliopsida; Fabales; Fabaceae. The record is from RNAcentral.
UUAGAGGGCGCUUUCCAGUAAAAGCGCCCUCUAAACCCUUAAAUGUUUCCACUUUAGAGGGCGCUUUUUUUAAAAAGCGCCCUCUAAAGUGGGUGGUUAUUUAAAUUUUUUUUUUUAAAAAGCGCUAUAUUUUUUUAUUUAUUUUAGACAACCUGUAUAUUGAAGCAGUACACCCAAAACUAUAUAAUUUGAAGCCCUUUUUCACA